Elaeis guineensis (African oil palm) is the source of this 2114-nucleotide RNA transcript. It is a transcript of the gene named pyridoxal kinase, with no coding region annotated. The record is from RefSeq and is a predicted model, not a curated record. Lineage: Eukaryota; Viridiplantae; Streptophyta; Magnoliopsida; Arecales; Arecaceae.
CCUUGCUCCGGCCCAGCCACAAAGCUGCUUCGUCCUACUCCCCGGUCCCGGACGUCCCAACGGACCAAGGCAAAUCCAACGGUGCAUAACACGCCACGUUACCCCUUGUCUUUCACCGAUUCCUGAGUGCCCGUCAUCCACCGUGCGUAUGCUCUGAGAUUUGUCCUGGUCCGUGCGAUAAUUUUUCGUCCUAGCCGCCCUGUCGCCCAAUCAAGAACCCUCCUUCUUUCCACAGUCUCCAGGUAAAAAAANAAAAAAAAACCAACCGCCUUGCUCCCCCUCUCGCUCCAGGAAGCUUACGCCUUUAUUCGUAGCCUUUUCGGCUGUCGUUCUUGAUCCUCGCUCGCAGGUCGUCGAGGAUUUCCUUCCCGAGGAGAUAGGCGAUGGCGUCUCCUCCGAUCCUCUCCAUCACCCUCCCGUCCGAGACUGGUCGCGUCCUUGGCAUCCAGUGCCACACCGUUCAGGUUUUCAUCCGGGUUCUGUCUUCUUUCCUUCCUUGAUUACCCUUUGUUUCCUUUUUUUUUUCCCUCGUGGAAUUAUAUAAUCCCUAGUCUUUACAUUGGAAAGUGACGGAAGUUCCGGACCCUUUCUUGGGGAAAGAUGGAUGGGUCCAAUAAAGGGGCCAAAUAGCUGCAGAACGAUGCUUUUGGACCGAAAUGGGUGCUUUAUGGCCCGCCUACCGAACUCUACGACGUCUGAUACGAAAUGGUAGGGGAAAAAAAAAUACAGGGUAUGACUUCGAUGCACCCCGAGAUCGGAAACAUGAGUGGCUUCAAAUUCCUCAAAGAUUUCCUGAAGAGCCCUUGAUUCAAAAGUGUUUCUUUUUGAAAUCACGGGAGUUCCUACAGCAAAAGAGGGAGAAAAACUACACCACUUGUUUCUUUAAUCUCGUGCUCAUAGAGUCAAGCCCUGGAAAAUAUAGUCUAGAAAACCUGCCAUACAUAUAGCACGCGAGUAACAUACCUCGCCGUCACUUUUUCUAGUAUGUGGGUUUUUUACCAUAUGAAGUCCAAGGACAAGCUCCAGGGUGAGUUUUGGCAAUGGAGACAUACUGUGUAAAUCAGUGGGCAAGAGGCAUGGUCCUGCAGAGUCUUAAAGUUGCUGAAGUCCAUAAUGCUGAACACUCAGGGGUCGGUUUUCUUCCAUUGAGAGAGAUGAAGGAAGCCAAAUCAACUCAACUCAACUCUGUCUAUAUUUUGUACCUACGUGGCCCCAAGCCGGAAUAAAAGAGGAGAAUUGCGGGUUACUGUGAAACAGAUGGACUGGAAGCUUGUAAUUUUCUUCAUGCUGCUGGACCUAUAAAGGCUGUGCUACAAAGAACGGUAGCAGACUAUGAAAAAGAGGGUUUUGAUCCUCAGUCAAGCAGCUUGGAGACCCGAUUAAUUCAAAGCCAGAAUGACAUCCAAAGCCCAGAGCUUAAAUAUAAGGCCUAAAAAUAUACUUAAAAUGAUCGUGGCAUGAAGCUUCACUUGCCUGAAGGCAUAGGAAGUAGAGCUGCUGUCAUCUUCAUAGUCAUGCUGAAACCAUUUUUUAUAUCAUUCUGUUUUCUCAAAGGUUUUCUAACCAUAUGGGCUGAAGAUCCUGAAAUAAGGAUUCAUGAUCAAGUGAUCCUAUCAGUUGGAAUUGUAGAGAGAACAAUCUUCCAUUAAAUUUACUGUGUUUCGACAUCCGACAUAAAGCUUGCUUCACUAAGUACCACAGCCUGCAGCUGCCAAGUUGUUGCUGUCGCUGGGGGGAUGAUGGGAUUGAUUCGAGGAAAACUUGGCAAACACCAACCGUAAUGCUCCGAAAUCAUCUGGAAGCUGGUAAAGUGAAGGCAAGGAAAUUGCGUCUGAGGUCUGAAUUUGGGCGGUCUAAGGCCUCCUGGCAUGAUUAUUUGAUGACUUAAAACAUGAUGAACUAAAAAUUGUGUUUCCCAGGGCUCCUCCAUGUGAUGCUCCCUGCAUUACUGGGAAAUAUAGCGUAGAGAUUUUGAUUCUUGUUAGAUUAGACAAUUAUUUUUCUAUCUUGUUAUGAUCAAUCAGAAUUUCCUUGUUUUCCAUUAAGCUUGUUCGUGUGUGGUCUUGUACAUUGGUGGGAAAUAUAACUAAGAUAUUUUGAUUCAACGGAGACAA